Molecule: ribosomal RNA, 378 nt
Filed under: uncultured bacterium
Lineage: Bacteria
Description: bacterial SSU rRNA
Rfam family: Bacterial small subunit ribosomal RNA
Source: RNAcentral
AGACGGAGGGCGCAAGCGUUGUUCGGAAUUACUGGGCGUAAAGCGCGCGCAGGCGGAUGUGGCAAGUCGGGAGUGAAAUCCCGGGGCUUAACCCCGGGGCUGCUCCCGAUACUGCUCGUCUAGGGACCGGUAGAGGCUGGUGGAAUUCCCGGUGUAGCGGUGGAAUGCGUAGAGAUCGGGAGGAACACCUGUGGCGAAGGCGGCCAGCUGGGCCGGAUCCGACGCUGAGGCGCGAAAGCGUGGGGAGCAAACAGGAUUAGAUACCCUGGUAGUCCACGCCGUAAACGAUGGGUGCUAGAUGCCGGGGGGAGCGACCCCUUCGGUGUCGCAGCUAACGCGUUAAGCACCCCGCCUGGGGAGUACGGCCGCAAGGCUGAA